This 433-nucleotide ribosomal RNA is filed under the name uncultured bacterium. RNAcentral describes it as "partial 16S ribosomal RNA". It matches the Rfam family "Bacterial small subunit ribosomal RNA", at positions 29 to 507 of the family's 1533-position model. The record is from RNAcentral.
AACGAACGCUGGCGGCAUGCCUAACACAUGCAAGUCGAACGAGACCUUCGGGUCUAGUGGCGCACGGGUGCGUAACGCGUGGGAACCUGCCCUUAGGUUCGGAAUAACUCCCCGAAAGGGGUGCUAAUACCGGAUAAUGUCUUCGGACCAAAGAUUUAUCGCCUUUGGAUGGGCCCGCGUUGGAUUAGCUAGUUGGUAGGGUAAAAGCCUACCAAGGCGACGAUCCAUAGCUGGUCUGAGAGGAUGAUCAGCCACCCUGGGAAUGAGAACCGGCCCAGACUCCUACGGGAGGGCGGAGGGGGGAAUAAUGGGACAGGGGGGAAAGGCCGACGCCGCCAUGCCGGGGGAAGGAUGAAGGGCUUAGGAGUGGAAAAUCCUUUUUACCGGGGAGAUAAUGACGGGACCCGGGGAAGAAGCCCCGGCUAAACUCGUG